Molecule: long non-coding RNA, 1215 nt
Organism: Parasteatoda tepidariorum (common house spider)
Lineage: Eukaryota; Metazoa; Arthropoda; Arachnida; Araneae; Theridiidae
Source: RefSeq, a predicted model, not a curated record
UCAAGUUAUUUUCCUUCAAAGAUAUACUUUAACAACAGCUUGUUAUAAAUAAAAAGGGGGGAUUUCCGUAUUGUGAUCUGUAGCAGAAUAAUCGUCAAAUCUUCCGGGCAGCGGCCCACGAGAAACUAAAAAAAAAAAACAUCACAGAGAGGGACAAACUCGAAAUGUAUAACUUGUAGCCACCCCGGGAAUUAUGAUGCGCUUACACAUGUCAGCAAAGAUAUUUGGAAUAAUUUUUUUCCAACAUCUUACUAUCUGGUUGUUGUCAAAAUUUGGUGAUUAUUUUGGAACAGCGUUUGAUAUGGAAUUCCCAAACUUACAUUACAUUAGUUGAUAAAACUUAUACAACUGGAGAAAAAUCCUACAUUUAUAGUGUAUUUAUACUUGAAUUAGUAAUGUGAAUUUAUAUCUAAUUUGGAAAGUAUUUUGUUUACAUCAUGAUGAUUGCAAAGUGACUGGGUUUCUCUUACAUCUGGCUUUAUGAAUCUAGCAAGGAAAACAAAUCCCAUGGCAUAGUCCAUUGUAUACCCUAUUAUUGCUAGAAGUUGAUUAAAUUAUAUAUUUCUUAUAUGGAGCAUAUUGUCUUACAUUGAAAACUCUGUUUUUUCAUAGAAUGAUAUAGGAAGAAAUAAUUUUUAACAUAAAAAAACUAGCGAGCUGAAGUUCAAGGAAAGCAGGAACUGGCAUUAUUGCACAUUUUUUAAUAUUUUUGUUUUUUUAACAGUUGGCAAUAACAUGUUUAAUUUAUGUUUUCUGUUACCUAAGGCUUAAAGAAAAAGAAUUCACUAACAUGGAGCUAAAAAAAAAGAAAUUGAGGAAAAAUUAUCCUAAUGUCAAUAGUACUCCAUGGUAUAUGAACAACAUUGCAUGUUAAAAAGUCCGGGAUAAAAAAAAUACACAUGAAAGUUUUUGAAGUGGCCUUCUGUCCUAAAUACAACCAGUUAAGUACCAUGAUGUACAUUGGUCUUUCUCUUUGAUUAAAAUGUCAUUAAAUAUUCAAAAGCCUAAUAAGCUUUAUUUUAAAUUUAAUCUGCAACUUCAAGUAAUAUUAACUCUGUUUUUUUUUUAAGAGAUUUUUUUUUUUAAUUUUUAUUUCAUAAUCCUUACUUGUUUUAAAUUUUUUAUAUUCAGACUUUUAGCAAACUGGCUUAUACCUGUCUAAACUAGUGAUGAAAAGGUUUUUGUGAAUAAAGUGCUAGUUUUCAUAGCUCUCAA